CCUACGGGAGGCUGCAGUGGGGAAUAUUGGACAAUGGGCGAAAGCCUGAUCCAGUCAUGCCGCGUGUGUGAAGAAGGCCUUCGGGUUGUAAAGCACUUUCAGUGGGGAAGAAAGCCUUGGGGCUAAUACCCUCGAGGAAGGACAUCACCCACAGAAGAAGCACCGGCUAACUCCGUGCCAGCAGCCGCGGUAAUACGGAGGGUGCGAGCGUUAAUCGGAAUUACUGGGCGUAAAGCGCGCGUAGGCGGUCUGAUAAGCCGGUUGUGAAAGCCCCGGGCUCAACCUGGGAACGGCAUCCGGAACUGUCAGGCUAGAGUGCAGGAGAGGAAGGUAGAAUUCCCGGUGUAGCGGUGAAAUGCGUAGAGAUCGGGAGGAAUACCAGUGGCGAAGGCGGCCUUCUGGACUGACACUGACGCUGAGGUGCGAAAGCGUGGGUAGCAAACAGGAUUAGAUACCCGAGUAGUC
This 465-nucleotide ribosomal RNA is filed under the name Vreelandella stevensii. RNAcentral describes it as "partial 16S ribosomal RNA". It matches the Rfam family "Bacterial small subunit ribosomal RNA", at positions 338 to 795 of the family's 1533-position model. Lineage: Bacteria; Pseudomonadati; Pseudomonadota; Gammaproteobacteria; Oceanospirillales; Halomonadaceae. The record is from RNAcentral.